Callithrix jacchus (white-tufted-ear marmoset) is the source of this 289-nucleotide unclassified non-coding RNA. It matches the Rfam family "Metazoan signal recognition particle RNA". Rfam says of the family: The signal recognition particle (SRP) is a universally conserved ribonucleoprotein. It is involved in the co-translational targeting of proteins to membranes. The record is from Ensembl. Lineage: Eukaryota; Metazoa; Chordata; Mammalia; Primates; Cebidae.
GCCAGGUGUGGUGGCUCGUGCCUGCAGUCCCAGACACUUGGGAGGCUGAGAUAGGAGGAGGAUUGCUUGUCCCCAGGAGUUCUGGGCUGUAGUGUGCAGUGCUGAUAGGGUGUCCACACUAAGUUCGGCAUCAAUAUGGUGACCUCCAAGUUGCCUAAUGAGAAGUAAACCAACCCAGGUUGCAAAUGGAGCAGGUCAAAACUCCCAUGCUGAUCAGUAGUAGGAUUGUGAACAGCCUGUGAAUAGCCACUAUCCUCCAGCCUGGGCAAAACAGCAAGACUCUUGUCUC